Molecule: non-coding RNA, 137 nt
Organism: Triticum urartu
Lineage: Eukaryota; Viridiplantae; Streptophyta; Magnoliopsida; Poales; Poaceae
Source: Rfam
ACACUAGGCAGUGCUGAGAUCAUCUCCCACAUCCUGGCCGGUCUCGACCUCGACUACAACCCGGUUGUGCCAGCUAUUGCAGCACGGGUCGAGCCCGUGACUGUACAGGAACUCUUCACCCAGUUGCUGAGCUUAGA